AGGACGAGCGCUGGCGGCGUGCUUAACACAUGCAAGUCGAACGAGGUGCUUGCACCUAGUGGCGAACGGGUGAGUAACACGUGAGCAACCUGCCCUUGGCUCUGGGAUAGCCUCCGGAAACGGGGAUUAAUACCGGACAUGACCUUGGUCUGCAUGGACUGAGGUGGAAAGUUUUUCGGCCAGGGAUGGGCUCGCGGCCUAUCAGCUUGUUGGGGGGUAACGGCCCACCAAGGCGACGACGGGUA
Molecule: ribosomal RNA, 245 nt
Filed under: uncultured bacterium
Lineage: Bacteria
Description: partial small subunit ribosomal RNA
Rfam family: Bacterial small subunit ribosomal RNA
Source: RNAcentral